CUCAUUCUUGCAAUGUGUUCACCACAAGUUGGAACAAAAAUGAUAUCAUUACAUCACUCUAAAACACAAGAUUAAGUCAAGCUCAUACAAGGAGCGAAAUACCAAGUUAUUACAACUCACGGACACAUGUCCACAAUCAUCAUUACACCAGCGGGAGCAAAUUAGGCCCGAGUACGGACAAGUUACAAUUAUUAUCUAAGAGGCUGAAACUGAAAGGAGAGCCCGCCACAAGUUCACAGAACCCUGCCCUGGAAUCUGCUGACUAAACGUCGAAGCUGUCGUCAUCGAACUCCA
Molecule: long non-coding RNA, 294 nt
Filed under: Brachypodium distachyon (stiff brome)
Lineage: Eukaryota; Viridiplantae; Streptophyta; Magnoliopsida; Poales; Poaceae
Description: long non-coding RNA (BDIS_LNC003369)
Source: RNAcentral